Panicum hallii is the source of this 1957-nucleotide long non-coding RNA. RefSeq lists it as uncharacterized. The transcript is spliced from 3 exons. Lineage: Eukaryota; Viridiplantae; Streptophyta; Magnoliopsida; Poales; Poaceae. The record is from RefSeq and is a predicted model, not a curated record.
CGUACCUUUUUUCUCCCCUCACUCCGUGGCAGCCGCCCCCUCGUGGCUGCGCCUCCUCUCCUGGUCGCCCCUCCCCUCCCUUCCUCUUCGUGGCCGGCCCUGCAUCCCCACCGACGCACCCGGCCUGCGCCACCGGCGGCGCCCCACUCCACGGCUCCACGCGUCCCCUCCCCCUAACCCGGCCGGCCCAUGGUGAAGGGGCGCGCGAUGGUGGCCGACGCCAGCCCCGCGAAGCCCCGAGCCCGGUGUGGAGGCGGCGCGCGGGUGCCGCCCGGAGCAGCACCGCGCCGCGCCGAGCUGCUGCCGCGGUCGAUGGAUCCGGGGGCGCGGUCGAUGGAUCCGGGCAGGUACCCUCUCCCUAGAUCCGCGUGCUAAGAGGUCAGCCCCAGGCGCGGCAGCAGGACGCAGCCCCCCGGGACGGAGACGAAGAGGAGCGCCAGCCCCGGGCGCCUAGGACACAACGGCCGCGGCGGGGCGCCCCUUGGCGUCCGUCGUCGGGAACCCGUUCUGGGCCUCCCACCGCUAUCCGUCGCCGAGAUGCCGUCGUUCCUGCCCUACUCCCCGCUCCCGUCAUGAAUUACCCACUGAUGCUGUUCGAGUGGGGAACCAGACCUGGAGGAUCCCUGCAGCAUGCUGAGCAUUGCCUGCCCGCCUACAGCAUACUGCUCUCCAGGCAGCCAUGUCCAUGCAGGUAAUCUGUUCGAUGAAAUGGCCCUGGAGACACUAGCUGCUAGUUGCUGCACUAGUGCUUAUGCGUAUCUAAGGAAACCAGGAGUUUGUGUCAGCUUGCGAACUCUGGUUGUUAUUUUGUAUGCAUCCCCUCCCAAUUUGUUGUGCUUUUUUUUGCCCUAGUCCAAUUGUUUGUUCAGAUCAAAUGAUAUAUAUCCUUCAAAAGUUAUAUCAUUGAGAAAUAUUACCUAUAUUCUGCUGUCGCCUAAGACUUUUGUAUGGCUUUGAACUGAUGCAUCCAUAAUAAUAUGUGUGUGCUGUAGAUCAAUUUGGCUCUAGAACAAGCAACAUGUCGUUUUCAUGCUAUAGUGAUGCUAGACAUUUAUACUUAUUAGCCUAAACAUCCAUACCCGUCUUAGUUAAAAGAUAAAUUCAAUUGUCAAAAAUAGUGAAAAUUUCUUUACAUGGUGUUACUAAAUGGAGCAUAAAUGUGUCUAGAAAUUGCUUUUACUAAGGUUGACGAAAAGUUAAUUAAAGAUGAGACAAUAAUACUAAUUUGAUUUAAGUCACUAGCAAUAAGCAAACCUCAGCGACAACGUAUCAUGUUCUUGGGCUGCAACUAGGCCUGGGCAUAAUUAAUCAAUAAUCAAAUCGAAUUACCUGAGACUGAAACUGAAUUACCCGAAAUUGAAAAAUUUGGUCACAUGUUAUUUGCAAGGAUGUCCUUGAAAUAGCAUGCGUAGGUGGGGACUUGUAUAGCAUUGAGCAGCGCAUAUUGAUGUUCAACCUUCGAACCACUUCCACAAAUUUAUCAAAUCGAUUGUUAGUUUUACCUAACCGCUGGCGGAUCUUUCCAGGCAGAAUCCUUGUAUUCUCAUGAUUGAUCAUCUCAAAUUCAGGUUCUUCAGUCACUAUCCCUAGUUCUGAUGUAGAGUUGUCUUCUUUAUUGGUCAUUGAAGAUCUUCGGUCUCUUUCCCUAAACGUGUAUGAAUUACCUUUUCUGAUUUUGGAUUGUUUUCCUUCGUAGCUAGUUAAGUGGCUUGCAAGCUGAGUGAUUUGAGUCUCCAACAUCUUCAUCGUGUGUUCAAGACUUAGUGGUUUGAGCUUUUGACCUCGGUUACUUUGCUAUCAAUGUCCUCCAGAGCUUCAAUGUUCUCCAUAGCUUUGUCCACAGCCUUGAACUUUGUCACUAUGUCCUUAUUGAUUUUUGCUUGCUCUUUUGUGAAUUUCUUCAACUGUAAACAUAAAAGCAUAAUAUUCUGAAGCCAAAAUAGGCGUUUUUGUCCCU